Long non-coding RNA from Lonchura striata (white-rumped munia), 1979 nucleotides. The record is from Ensembl. Lineage: Eukaryota; Metazoa; Chordata; Aves; Passeriformes; Estrildidae.
AGUGGUUGGGAGGGCACUGCCUGUCUAUAGGGCGUCUAGAAGAGGUCUGUGGGAUUUUUGGGGGAGCCUCUACGAGUGCUGGGGAAAAUCUAAAAGAUAUUGGGGUCCAGGAAGGGGUUUGGCGGGACCCUUGGGCUUUGGGGGGUCUUUAACGGUCCGGGGUCCGUGGGAUGUUUUGGGGGGCCCAGGACAGCGCUGGGGGGUCUGUGGGGACCAGGAAGCGUAUAGGGGCGCCUGGGGGUUUAUUGGGCGUAACGGGGCGGGGACCCCCCAAGCCCGUGGGAACGGGGCUCCCCUGUCUUCGCCUUCCCGCGGCCGACGUGGCGCGUCAGCGGCUGCCCCUGAGCUCCCGCAAGGCCUCGUGCGGCCCCGCCUCCCGUUGGCCGCUGGGCCCGCGCCGCUUUGCUCGCCUCCUGGACUACAACUCCCGAAAGGCCGCGAGGCCCCGUAGGGCGCUGUUGAGCCGGGACUGCGGUUCCCGUCGUGCCCCGCGGCCCCUGAGAGUCCCGUCAGAGCCGGGCCUGGCCCCGCAGCGCCGACCCGGCUGCUCCCCAAGUGCUUCCCUCGGCCGUAAGUCCACCCUCUAAUGAUCCUGCAAGCACUCCCAACUGGAUUCCAAGCGCCCUUCGAGUGUCUCCCAGGAACUGGCGUGAUGACGACGAUGUAGAGAAAGACCCUGCCCCUAUCGCAGUAUCAGCAAUAGUUCAGCCUUUAAUUAAAUUCGAAUCAAAACUGCAAUUGCCGAUGCGGAGGAUGGACAAGCCCCCCCACCUUUUCGUGCCACUCCCGUGGUCCCUCUUGGAGCCAGGGAAAUUGCAGGAAAAGCAUUCCUGCAUGUUGUGCACAACAAAACUUUCUUGGGAAUUGGGAACAGAAUCUGGGUGGUGAGCUUCCCUGACAGGUGGACAUAAAUCCUGUCAGAUGAAGAAGAGGUUGAGAAGACUUUGGGGACCUGGAGUAUACUGUUCUGUAGCCCCCCGCACCCUCCCCAAAACCCCAGAGACCCCCUUCAUCCCCUACAGACUCCCCAGUAGAUCCCAAAUACCCUUAGAAUGCCCUCAAAAUGCUCCACAGCUUCCCCCCGCCAGACACCCUAUAAACCCUCAGGGACCCUCCCAAACCUCCCUCUAAAACCUCCUGAGGCUCUCUAAAACAACCCAUAGAUCUGCCCAAACCCCUGGCACUCCCCUGCACCCCCCAAAAGGGGCUACCCCAGGUGGCCACAAUUAGUCAUGGACUGCCUGAGCCACUUUUUCGGCUGAUAUGGAUGUAGGUACAAAUCUAAUAGAAAUAUAAAAUACAAUAUAGAAAGGGGCCUCCAGGAGAGCUGGGGAGGGUCUUUGUCUGGGGAAUGGGAUGGAGGCUGAGGGUUUUCACCUGCCAGAGGGCAGGGUUAGAUGGGAUACUGGGAAGAAAUUCCUCCCUGUGAGGGUGGUGAGACCCUGGCACAGGCUGUCCAGAGAAGCUGCAGCUGCUCCAUCUCUGGAAGUGUCCAAGGCCAGGUUGGACAGGGCUUGGAGCAACCUGCGAUAGUGGAAUAUGCCCCUGCCCAUGGCAGGGGGUGGAUCGAGACGACCUUUGAAGUCCCUUCCAACCCAAGCCAACCUGGGAUUCUAAAAGUGGGGGAGGUUUGGGGUGGGUGACCUUGGCUGACCCCAGGUGCUCCAUCACUCCAGCUUCAGGAAAAGACAGCAAGAGAAAACCUGAUGAAAAAGCUCCUGGAGGAGAUGGGGUUGGGGGGAUGUGAGUCCCUCAGGAACUGCUCCAGGUCCCUUUCCAUGGGCUGAGUCCCUCAGGCUGAGGCAUUUCGGACACAGAGGCAACACCUACCUCACUGUAUUCUUCUCCAGCGCUGCAGGGGAGCCUCUGCUCCGCAGCACCUCCUCACCUGGUGUGCUGCUCAAGGAGGAAGGACAACAACAGCAAAAGGGACUUUUUUGCACCAAAAUAAAAUUAAACUGUGAAUGUUACUUUUCUCA